CUACGGGAGGCAGCAGGCGAGAAAACUUUGCAAUGUGCGAAAGCACGACAAGGUUAAUCCGAGUGGUUUGUGCUAAACGAACCUUUUGACAGUCCUAGAAACACUGUUGAAUAAGGGGUGGGCAAGUUCUGGUGUCAGCCGCCGCGGUAAAACCAGCACCUCAAGUGGUCAGGAUGAUUAUUGGGCCUAAAGCAUCCGUAGCCGGCUCUGUUAGUUUUCGGUUAAAUCUGUACGCUCAACGUACAGGCUGCCGGGAAUACUGCAGAGCUGGGGAGUGGGAGAGGUAGACGGUACUCGGUAGGAAGGGGUAAAAUCCUUUGAUCUAUUGAUGACCACCUGUGGCGAAGGCGGUCUACCAGAACACGUCCGACGGUGAGGGAUGAAAGCUGGGGGAGCAAACCGGAUUAGAUACCCGCGUAGUC
RNAcentral lists this ribosomal RNA (422 nucleotides) under uncultured archaeon. RNAcentral describes it as "partial 16S ribosomal RNA". It matches the Rfam family "Archaeal small subunit ribosomal RNA", at positions 323 to 746 of the family's 1478-position model. The record is from RNAcentral.